GAGAGAGCUCGCCUCCUCCCUUCUAGAUACAUCGCCGCCACCGCCACCUCCCUCCAUCAGAGCUCGCCGUCGUUCAUGGCCUCCCCCACGCCCCCUCCCCUCGCCCCUCCCCUUCCCUCACCACCCAACCGAACCAACCAGACCACCACACACCCUCACCUCGUUACCGACGCGCCGCCGCCAUCCCCCACGAAUGGUGUCGUCCCCACGAUCUGGAUCCCCACGAACCAGCCGUUGGUGACCACAUCCACUCCGUCGCCGGCGCCACCUCCACUCCCCUCCCCUCCCCUUCCUGGAUGGAGAUCCCCUCCUCUCCAAUCCCACCCACGCUCCACAGUCGAACCCUACACACACGCGCGCGCCAGGGGCCGCCGCGAUCUGUGAGAUGUGGCGCAGCCGCGUGUCGCGGGGCCUCCGGGAGGCAAAGGCUGCCACCGCCGCCGCAUCCAGUCGCUUCUCCACCGCCUCGGUAUCCCCUCUUCCUUCUCAUGUGCCCCCAAAUUCAGCACCACCGCCGAGCACAUCUGCCUCGCCGCCGGCGACUCCGCCCUCUACCCCGCUGCCGGCUUCCCCCACCAUUUGCUCCUUCCCCUCCCCUCCCCUCCCCUCUAGACCGACUCGACCUAGGCUGGCCGCGUCCUCCAGAUCCGUCGGCAGAGGAGGAGGAGACGCCUCAUCCCACUGCCACCACCCCCUCCAACCUUCUCUCCUUCCUCGCGCGCGCCCGGAACCCUAGCCACGGCACUCGAGGAGUGCUGGUGGUGCACCGAGCACUGCCUCGACUGGGGCGUCGGCGGCGGCCCCAACCUCAUCGUCGAGGACGCCAUGCUGCUCAUCCACCAUGGCGUCAAGGCCGACGAGGAGUCCGGCAAGGUCGCCGACCCGGAGUCCACCGACAACCCUGUCGUGCUCGCCAUCGUCCGGCACUCUCAUGUUCCACGCCAUCAACGUCACCAAGAGCAAGGGCGAGCGACAAGUGCCAGAGGCAGAAGCGCAAGACCAUCAACAUUGACGACCUGCUCUGGGCGAUGGCCACGCUAGGCUUUCAGGAGUACAUUGAGCCCCUCAAGGUUUAUCUGCAGAAGUACAGAGAGGUUGCUGACUUUGGUAUGGCCAAGCUCCAGCACGAAGACGACACAAUCAUGUGUCUACGCGGGUGAUGGGGACUUUCGGGUACAUGGCGCUGGAGUACACCAACACCGG
Molecule: long non-coding RNA, 1203 nt
Organism: Triticum aestivum (bread wheat)
Lineage: Eukaryota; Viridiplantae; Streptophyta; Magnoliopsida; Poales; Poaceae
Exons: 4
Source: RefSeq, a predicted model, not a curated record